This 29-nucleotide non-coding RNA is filed under the name Rattus norvegicus (Norway rat). Lineage: Eukaryota; Metazoa; Chordata; Mammalia; Rodentia; Muridae. The record is from RNAcentral.
UACAAUGUCUGUCUAAUGGAAUUUCAUUG